CAGUCAACGACCUAACUUCGGUUAGGUAGUGGCAAACGGGUUAGUAACACCCGGUUAAUCAACCUCGUUCCCGGGCCUUGUACACACCGACUCCGAGAAAUCGGAAUUAAUACCCCAUAGAAUUAAUGAGUGGCAUCACUACAUUGAUUAAAGUUCCGGCGGUUAAAGAUGGGCAUGCGUGCCAUUAGCUAGUUGGAGAGGUAACGGCUCACCAAGGCAACGAUGGCUAGGGGUUCUGAGAGGAUUAUCCCCCACACUGGUACUGAGACACGGACCAGACUCCUACGGGAGGCAGCAGUAAGGAAUAUUGGGCAAUGGACGCAAGUCUGACCCAGCCAUGCCGCGUGCAGGAAGACAGCCUUAUGGGUUGUAAACUGCCUUUGUCAGGGAAUAAACCCCCGGUCGUGCACCGGGGCUGAAGGUACCUGAAGAAUAAGCACCGGCUAACUCCGUGCCAGCAGCCGCGGUAAUACGGAGGGUGCAAGCGUUAUCCGGAUUUAUUGGGUUUAAAGGGUGCGCAGGCGGGUUUGUAAGUCAGCGGUGAAAUCCCACGGCUCAACCGUGGAACUGCCAUUGAUACUGCAGGCCUUGAGUGUAUUUGAAGUGGGCGGAAUGUAGCAUGUAGCGGUGAAAUGCAUAGAUAUGCUACAGAACACCAAUUGCGAAGGCAGCUCACUAAACUACAACUGACGCUCAUGCACGAAAGCGUGAGGAUCAAACAGGAUUAGAUACCCUGGUAGUCCACGCUGUAAACGAUGAUUACUCGUUGUUGGCGAUAUACCGUCAGCGACCAAGCGAAAGUGAUAAGUAAUCCACCUGGGGAGUACGAUCGCAAGGUUGAAACUCAAAGGAAUUGACAGGGGCCCGCACAAGCGGUGGAGCAUGUGGUUUAAUUCGAUGAUACGCGAGGAAACCUUACCUGGGCUCAAAUGUAAGUUGACAGAUUCUGAAAGGGGAUUCUUCUUCGGACAUUUACAGGUGCUGCAUGCUGUCGUCAGCUCGUGCCGUGAGGUGUCGGG
Molecule: ribosomal RNA, 1019 nt
Filed under: uncultured bacterium
Lineage: Bacteria
Description: bacterial SSU rRNA
Rfam family: Bacterial small subunit ribosomal RNA
Source: RNAcentral